AACAGGCAAAAACCAAUGAUUCCCUAUGGGCAUGGUUCUCACCUGAGCGAUUUACAGCGCGUACGAACGCGCUGUAAAACGCCCUACGCCCCAAGAAGUACAGGAGCUUCUUUGGGGCGUAUUGUUGCGCGUUCCCGCACAUAGACAUUAGCGGGAAUGCGCGACAAUGGGCGCACACCUGUCUCUGU
Molecule: long non-coding RNA, 188 nt
Organism: Bufo bufo (common toad)
Lineage: Eukaryota; Metazoa; Chordata; Amphibia; Anura; Bufonidae
Exons: 3
Source: RefSeq, a predicted model, not a curated record